AUUCCCCUAGUAACGGCGAGUGAACCGGGAAGAGCUCAAAUUUGAAAUCUGGCAGUCUUCGAUUGUCCGAGUUGUAAUCUAUAGAAGCGUUUUCCGUGCUGAACUGUGUAUAAGUCCCUUGGAACAGGGUAUCAAAGAGGGUGACAAUCCCGUACUUUACACAAUCAUCAGUGCUCUGUGAUACGUUCUCUACGAGUCGAGUUGUUUGGGAAUGCAGCUCAAAAUGGGUGGUAAAUUCCAUCUAAAGCUAAAUAUUGGCGAGAGACCGAUAGCGAACAAGUACCGUGAGGGAAAGAUGAAAAGCACUUUGGAAAGAGAGUUAAACAGUACGUGAAAUUGUUGAAAGGGAAACGAACGCUACGUAUCAUGUUUAUUGGACUCAGCCGAUCUUCGGUGUACUUCCUUUAAACGGGUCAACAUCAGUUUUGUCCGAUGGAUAAAGGUAGUAGGAAGGUGGCUCUCUCGGGAGUGUUAUAGCCUAUUGCCGCAUACAUUGGAUGAGACUGAGGACUGCAGCUUGCCUUUAUGGCCGGGGUUCGCCCACGUUCAAGCUUAGGAUGUUGACAUAUACUCG
Molecule: ribosomal RNA, 574 nt
Filed under: Trichosporon sp.
Lineage: Eukaryota; Fungi; Basidiomycota; Tremellomycetes; Trichosporonales; Trichosporonaceae
Description: LSU rRNA
Rfam family: Eukaryotic large subunit ribosomal RNA
Source: RNAcentral